This 111-nucleotide ribosomal RNA is filed under the name Caerostris darwini. The record is from RNAcentral. Lineage: Eukaryota; Metazoa; Arthropoda; Arachnida; Araneae; Araneidae.
AACGGCCGUACCAUGCUGAAUAUACCGGUUCUCGUUAGAUCACCGAAUUUAACAUCAUUGGGCGCGGUCAGUACUUGGGUGGGUGACCACCUGGGAACACUGCGUGCCGUU